Molecule: ribosomal RNA, 649 nt
Filed under: Citrobacter sp.
Lineage: Bacteria; Pseudomonadati; Pseudomonadota; Gammaproteobacteria; Enterobacterales; Enterobacteriaceae
Description: bacterial SSU rRNA
Rfam family: Bacterial small subunit ribosomal RNA
Source: RNAcentral
GAUGGAGGGGGAUAACUACUGGAAACGGUAGCUAAUACCGCAUAACGUCGCAAGACCAAAGAGGGGGACCUUCGGGCCUCUUGCCAUCGGAUGUGCCCAGAUGGGAUUAGCUAGUAGGUGGGGUAACGGCUCACCUAGGCGACGAUCCCUAGCUGGUCUGAGAGGAUGACCAGCCACACUGGAACUGAGACACGGUCCAGACUCCUACGGGAGGCAGCAGUGGGGAAUAUUGCACAAUGGGCGCAAGCCUGAUGCAGCCAUGCCGCGUGUAUGAAGAAGGCCUUCGGGUUGUAAAGUACUUUCAGCGAGGAGGAAGGGUUGAGGUUAAUAACCUCAACAUUGACGUUACUCGCAGAAGAAGCACCGGCUAACUCCGUGCCAGCAGCCGCGGUAAUACGGAGGGUGCAAGCGUUAAUCGGAAUUACUGGGCGUAAAGCGCACGCAGGCGGUCUGUCAAGUCGGAUGUGAAAUCCCCGGGCUCAACCUGGGAACUGCAUCCGAAACUGGCAGGCUAGAGUCUUGUAGAGGGGGGUAGAAUUCCAGGUGUAGCGGUGAAAUGCGUAGAGAUCUGGAGGAAUACCGGUGGCGAAGCGGCCCCCUGGACAAAGACUGACGCUCAGGUGCGAAAGCGUGGGGAGCAAACAGGAUU